This 335-nucleotide ribosomal RNA is filed under the name uncultured bacterium. Its description in RNAcentral is "partial 16S ribosomal RNA". It matches the Rfam family "Bacterial small subunit ribosomal RNA", at positions 338 to 670 of the family's 1533-position model. The record is from RNAcentral.
CCUACGGGAGGCAGCAGUGAGGAAUAGUGGUCAAUGGACGAGAGUCUGAACCAGCCAAGUAGCGUGAAGGAUGACUGCCCGAUGGGUUGUAAACUUCUUUUAUAGGGGAAUAAAACGGGCCACGUGUGGGAUUUUGUAUGUACCAUAUGAAUAAGGAUCGGCUAACUCCGUGCCAGCAGCCGCGGUAAUACGGAGGAUCCGAGCGUUAUCCGGAUUUAUUGGGGUUACCGGGAGCGUAGGUGGCUUGUUAAGUCAGUUGGGAAAGUUUGCGGCUCAACCGUAAAAUUGCAGUUGAAACUGGCAGUCUUGCGUACAGUAGCGGUGGUCGGCAUUCG